Molecule: ribosomal RNA, 115 nt
Filed under: Microcebus murinus (gray mouse lemur)
Lineage: Eukaryota; Metazoa; Chordata; Mammalia; Primates; Cheirogaleidae
Source: RNAcentral
GUUUACAGCCAUGCCACCCUGAACGCACCCAAUCUUGUCUGAUCUCAGAAGCUAAGCAGGGUCGGACCUGGUUAGUACUUGGAUGGGAAAAAUGAAAAAAGAGAUAUUACAACUG